Molecule: ribosomal RNA, 138 nt
Filed under: uncultured eukaryote
Lineage: Eukaryota
Description: partial 18S ribosomal RNA
Rfam family: Eukaryotic small subunit ribosomal RNA
Source: RNAcentral
UGGUGGAGUGAUUUGUCUGGUUAAUUCCGUUAACGAACGAGACCUUAGCCUGCUAACUAGUCGCGGCGAUCUCGAUCGUCGUCGACUUCUUAGAGGGACUUUGUGGCACUAAGCACAAGGAAGUUUGAGGCAAUAACA